Equus quagga is the source of this 1079-nucleotide long non-coding RNA. RefSeq lists it as uncharacterized. The transcript is spliced from 3 exons. Lineage: Eukaryota; Metazoa; Chordata; Mammalia; Perissodactyla; Equidae. The record is from RefSeq and is a predicted model, not a curated record.
CCGGGCCCUCGGCUGCCCGCGGAGUGGGGGGGUCACGAGGCGCGGGGGAAGAGGAGGGCCGCCGCGAUCAGGCUCGGGCCCGGGCUCCGGCCCAGGCCCGGGAGGCGCCCGGCGGCGGUCCGGACCUGCGCUCUCGGCCUCGGCCGAGCAGCGGGAUUAUUAAUAGCGCGCCUGGCUCGGGCUGCGGCUCCAGGGCGCCUGCUACCUGCACGCCCCUCCUCCGAUCAUUCUGGCUCAAGACUCCUCUGGACUCUGGUCCCAAAGAAAAGCCUGCUUCUAAAUCUGUACUGCCCAACAUUGUAGAAACUGUUAUUGAGCACUGGGAAUGUGGCUAUUUGGAACUGAGAUGCGCUAUUUGAAGGAACAACACUCCUCUCAUCACAGGGAGUCAUAGGAAGUCAGCCGGUCCUCAGAGUCAUGACUCCUGGGUCAGAUUCUUCUCUUUGAACCUCAAUGUCCUCAUCUAUAAAAUGGGGACAGCAAGACCUCCACCUCACGCGAUUCUCCUGAAAGAUAAAUGCCUUAUAAACUGGAAGAGACUUUUUCUACUAAAACCUGCUAUACAAAUAAUACUAACAAUAGCCUCCAUUUAAAAGUUUAUUUAAAAUUGCAACAACCCUGCAACCGUGGCACUCCCCAAACCCUUUCCUGGUUUCCUUUUUCUCUUUGAGCUUAUCAGCAUCUAAUAAACCAUAUACUUUACUUAUUUUUGUGUUAACUGUUUGUUUUACUCUCUAAAUGUGAGCUCCUUGAGGGCAGGGAUUUUCAUCUACUUUCUUCACUGCUGUGUGCCCCAGAAAAGUGCCUGACACCAUGUGUGCACUAGAUAGUUGAGAGAUGAGUGAAUGAGUCAACUGCCAGACACUGGGCUAAGCACUUCUCACAGGUCAUACCACCUUAGGAGACAGGUACUUUCAUUGCCCCUCAUUUUGAAAAUGAGACCUCAAGUGACCUGUCCUGAUCACACGGUAGGAAGCAGCCUGGCUGGGAUGUGACUCCCGAGGCUACCCUCUUGAUCACUGUGUUCUAUUUCCCGUCCAGAUGGGGGGUUAUUUCUAUUUCUACAUUAGCCAAGCCUC